Cyphomyrmex costatus is the source of this 342-nucleotide long non-coding RNA. RefSeq lists it as uncharacterized. Lineage: Eukaryota; Metazoa; Arthropoda; Insecta; Hymenoptera; Formicidae. The transcript has 3 exons. The record is from RefSeq and is a predicted model, not a curated record.
CUUUCAAUGCACCGCAAUCGUUAGCACCAUCUCCCACCAUAGCUGCGGAAAAAAAAUUUCAUGUCGAAUUAAGAUUCGUUUUAAAGUCAGCUUCGAAAAAUUUAUAUUGUUCAUUACAAUAUAAAUUUUUUUUAUGUUUACACUUACCAACGUAAUAUCCUAAGGACUGCAGUUCUUGAACCAACUGCUGCUUCUGAUCUGGCGACAUUCUUGCAAAAAUGGCACCGCGAGUCACCACUUUAGGCUUAAAAACACAGAUACUUACUCUUCCUGUAAAAAAUGGGUAUCCUUCUCCAACUUUGGACUACCGAAGGAACCGCUCUCGACAGAAUUCAGACUAAC